This 419-nucleotide ribosomal RNA is filed under the name uncultured bacterium. RNAcentral describes it as "bacterial SSU rRNA". It matches the Rfam family "Bacterial small subunit ribosomal RNA", at positions 31 to 495 of the family's 1533-position model. The record is from RNAcentral.
GUACGCUGGCGGCACGCCUAACACAUGCAAGUCGAACGAAGUAGCAAUACUUAGUGGCAGACGGGUGAGUAACAUGUAGGUAUCUGCCCUUUGGCCUGGAAUAACACGAGGAAACUUGUGCUAAUACCGGAUAAGUCUUUACGGAGAAAGCUUUAUGCACCAUUGGAUGAGCCUGCACUUGAUUAGUUUGUUGGUGGGGUAAUGGCCUACCAAGACUGUGAUCAAUAGCUGAUUUGAGAGGAUGAUCAGCCACAUUGGGACUGAGACACGGCCCAAACUCCUACGGGAGGCAGCAGUGGGGAAUCUUGCACAAUGGAGGAAACUCUGAUGCAGCGAUGCCGCGUGAGUGAAGAAGGCCCUUGGGUUGUAAAGCUCUUUCGUCGGGGAAGAAAAUGACUGUACCCGAAUAAGAAGGUCCG